This 490-nucleotide ribosomal RNA is filed under the name uncultured bacterium. RNAcentral's name for it is "partial 16S ribosomal RNA". It matches the Rfam family "Bacterial small subunit ribosomal RNA", at positions 28 to 507 of the family's 1533-position model. The record is from RNAcentral.
GAUGAACGCUAGCUACAGGCUUAACACAUGCAAGUCGCGGGGCAGCAUGGGGGUUGCUUGCAAUCCCCGAUGGCGACCGGCGCACGGGUGAGUAACGCGUAUCCAACCUGCCCUUCACCACGGGAUAACCCGGCGAAAGUCGGACUAAUACCGUAUGUUGUCCAUUGACGGCAUCCGAUUUGGACGAAAGGCUUGGCGGUGAGGGAUGGGGAUGCGUCCGAUUAGCCAGACGGCGGGGUAACGGCCCACCGUGGCUACGAUCGGUAGGGGUUCUGAGAGGAAGGUCCCCCACACUGGAACUGAGACACGGUCCAGACUCCUACGGGAGGCAGCAGUGAGGAAUAUUGGUCAAUGGGCGUAAGCCUGAACCAGCCAAGUAGCGUGCAGGAUGACGGCCCUAUGGGUUGUAAACUGCUUUUAUGCGGGGAUGAAGUGGCCCACGUGUGGGCUUUUGCAGGUACCGCAUGAAUAAGGACCGGCUAAUUCCGUG